GAUGAACGCUGGCGGCGUGCCUAAUACAUGCCAGUCGAACGAAACUUCUUUAUCACCGAGUGCUUGCGCUCACCGAUAAAGAGUUGAGUGGCGAACGGGUGAGUAACACGUGGGCAACCUGCCCAAAAGAGGGGGAUAACACUUGGAAACAGGUGCUAAUACCGCAUAACCAUAGUUACCGCAUGGUAACUAUGUAAAAGGUGGCUAUACUACCGCUUUUGGAUGGGCCCGCGGCGCAUUAGCUAGUUGGUAGGGUAAAGGCUUACCAAGGCAAUGAUGCGUAGCCGAAUUGAGAGGUUGAUCGGCCACAUUGGGACUGAGACACGGCCCAAACUCCUACGGGAGGCAGCAGUAGGGAAUCUUCCACAAUGGGCGAAAGCCUGAUGGAGCAACGCCGCGUGGGUGAAGAAGGUCUUCGGAUCGUAAAACCCUGUUGUUAGAGAAGAAAGUGCGUGAGAGUAACUGUUCACGUUUCGACGGUAUCUAACCAGAAAGCCACGGCUAACUACGUG
RNAcentral lists this ribosomal RNA (512 nucleotides) under uncultured bacterium. RNAcentral describes it as "partial 16S ribosomal RNA". It matches the Rfam family "Bacterial small subunit ribosomal RNA", at positions 28 to 507 of the family's 1533-position model. The record is from RNAcentral.